Long non-coding RNA from Mytilus californianus (California mussel), 1636 nucleotides. RefSeq lists it as uncharacterized. The transcript is spliced from 2 exons. Lineage: Eukaryota; Metazoa; Mollusca; Bivalvia; Mytilida; Mytilidae. The record is from RefSeq and is a predicted model, not a curated record.
AAUUAACAAGAGUGCACACGCUGAAAUGUCUCGCCUUCUUUACUAAUCAUUGAUAUUAUGUUGAUAGUCCUAAAUAUAAAGCUUUAUUACAACUGUCACAUAAACUUAACAUUAACCAAGUAAACUAAACAUUGACCAAUGAACCAUGAAAAUGAGGUCAAGGUCAGAUGAACCAUGCUAGGCAGGCAUGUACAGCUAACAAUUCUUCCAUACAACAAAUAUAGUUGACCUAUUGCUUAUAGUUUAAGAAAAACAGACGAAAACACAAAAAAUUAACACUGAGCAAUGAACCUUGAAAAUGAGGUCAAGGUCAAAUAAAACCUGCGUAACUGACAUAUAGAUCAUAAAAUAUUUCCAUACACCAAAUAUAGUUGAACUAUUGCAUAUAGUAUUAGAAAAAAAGACCAAAACUCAAAAACUUAACUUUGACCACUGAACUAUGAAAAUGAGGUCAAGGUCAGAUGACACCUGCCAGUUGGACAUGUACACCUUACAGUCCUUCCAUACACCGAAUAUACUAGACCUAUUGCUUAUAGUAUCUGAGAUAUGGACUUGACCACCAAAACUUAACCUUGUUCACUGAUCCAUGAAAUGAGGUCGAGGUCAAGUGAAAACUGUCUGACGGGCAUGAGGACCUUGCAAGGUACGCACAUACCAAAUAUAGUUAUCCUAUUACUUAUAAUAAGAGAGAAUUUAACAUUACAAAAAAUCUGAACUUUUUUUUCAAGUAGUCACUGAACCAUGAAAAUGAGGUCAAGGACAUUGGACAUGUGACUGACGGAAACUUCGUAACAUGAGGCAUCCAUAUACAAAGUAUGAAGCAUCCAGGUCUUCCAUCUUCUAAAAUAUAAAGCUUUUAAGAAGUUAGCUAACGCCGCCGCCGCCGCCGCCGCCGUAGCCGCCGCCGCCGCCGCCGGAUCGCUAUCCCUAUGUCGAGCUUUCUGCGACAAAAGUCGCAGGCUCGACAAAAAUCUAAAAACACGGUUAGAUUUGGCAUAUCAAAGAACCCCAAUAAUUCAAUUUUUGAUGAAAUCAAAAAAGUUUGAUUUUGGACCCUUUUGACCUCAAUAUGAACCAAUUUGAUAGCGGGCCCACAAAUAAAAAAUCUAAAUACAAGGUAAGAUUCAGCAUAUCAAAGAACCCCAUAUAUUCAAUUUUUGUUGAAAUCAAACAAAGUUAAAUUUUGUUGGACCCCAACUUGGACCAACUUGAAAACUGGGCUCAUAAUCAAAAAUAUAAACACAUGUUUAGAUUCAGCAUAUCAAAGAACCCCAAAAAUUCAAUUUUUGUUAAAAUCAAACUAAGUUUAAUUUUGGAUCCUUUGGACCUUAAUGUAGACCAAUUUAAAUAAAAUGCUCCGCAGGGCGCAGCUUGAUACGACCGCAGAGGUCGAACCCUGAACAGUUGGGGCAAGUAUGGACACAACAUUCAAGCUUGAUACAGCUUUGCAUUUGGAUUGUGAUUAAAUAUUUGACACAACAUAGGUUUCUGACACAGAAUGAAUGUGGUCUAAGAACUUAAAAAUUUUAAAUUGGACAUUCACCUAUUAUGGUCCAAUAUCCAAAAUCUAAAUACAUGGUUAGAUUCAGCAUAUCAAAGAACCCCAAGAAUUCAAUUUUUGAUGAAAUCAAACAAA